RNAcentral lists this ribosomal RNA (270 nucleotides) under Rhipicephalus turanicus. RNAcentral's name for it is "partial small subunit ribosomal RNA". Lineage: Eukaryota; Metazoa; Arthropoda; Arachnida; Ixodida; Ixodidae. The record is from RNAcentral.
UUAAGCUUUUCAGAGGAAUUUGCUCUUUAAUGGAUAAAACACCUAAAUCUUACUUAAAUUUGUUAAUUCAAUUUGUAUACCACUAUAAAAACAAUUUAUAACUUUAAUUGUUGAUAUUUAUUAAAUUAAAAUAUAUUAAGUCAAGGGGCAGUAAAAAUUUAAGGAUGAAGUGAAUUACAUUACUUUUUAGAGAAAUAAAUUUAAAAUAAUAUUUAGGAUUUGAAAGUAAAAUUAAAAUAUAAUGUUAAUUUGAAUUAAGCUCUAAAAUAU